GGGACUUCACGCUAUACUGGGUGCAGGGCUUAUUUUAUCUGUCCCCGCUGCUGCUUUGGCCAUAGCGUAUGAGACCACUCAGAACCGAUAAGCUCGGUUGAAAACGCCAGUGCGCUCUUCUUCCAGCUUAGGAUUUCUGCCUGAAGACAGCGCCAUGCAGGAUCACGGACAGGGACGGGUGCACCGUUUUCGCGACCAUGUCGUCACCGGCGUCAACUGGCGACCGACGCGGUUCGUCGACGAGGUACCAAAUUCACGUGUAUGCGGCCUCUGCUGCAUGAUCCCAAAACGAACGGUGCUGUUGCCAUGCGGUCACGCCCUGUGCGAAUCUUGCCACGCAGCCAGUCUCGACGGGGGCUCUGGCCAGUGUCCAUUGGAUCAAGUGCAAUUCGAAGAAGCGGAGGGCGUUGGGUACGAAUUUCCUACAAGGAUAGCGAAUACUAUGAAGGUGUACUGCUGGAACGAAGAGCACGGCUGCGAGUACACGGGGACCAUGGAUCGUAUGCUGCAACACUACGAGAACGAAUGCGCAUUUCACACCGUGGAAUGUUUGCGGUGCGGCGAGGGAGUCC
This 572-nucleotide long non-coding RNA is filed under the name Dermacentor andersoni. Its description in RNAcentral is "uncharacterized LOC126527412". Lineage: Eukaryota; Metazoa; Arthropoda; Arachnida; Ixodida; Ixodidae. The record is from RNAcentral.